CCGGGACCAUCCGGUAAGGCUAAAUACUCCCGAGAGACCGAUAGCGAACCAGUACCGUGAGGGAAAGGUGAAAAGCACUUCGAACAGAAGAGUGAAAUAGUUCCUGAAACCGUGCGCCUACAAGCGGUCGGAGCUCGUUAAUGAGUGACGGCGUGCCUUUUGCAUAAUGAACCUACGAGUUGCCUUUGCCGGCAAGGUUAAGUGUGACGACACACGUAUCCGAAGCGAAAGCGAGUCUGAAUAGGGCGUAUAGUCGGCAGUGGCAGACGCGAAACCAAGUGAUCUACCCUUGGCCAGGUUGAAGGCUGGGUAACACCAGCUGGAGGACCGCACCAAUAAGCGUUGAAAAGCUUCUGGAUGAGCUGAGGGUAGGGGUGAAAGGCUAAUCAAACUUGGAGAUAGCUCGUACUCCCCGAAAUGCAUUUAGGUGCAGCCUUGCGGGUUACUGAUGUGAGGUAGAGCGACUGAUAAGAUGCGAGGGCUUCACCGCCUAUCAAGUCUUGACAAACUCCGAAUGCGCAUCAGUUCUACCGCAGGAGUGAGGGCAUGGGUGCUAAGGUCCGUGCCCGAGAGGAGAAGAAUCCGGACCACCUGCUAAGGUCCCGAAAUGACAGCUAAGUUAAACUAACGAAGUCUGACUGCUAAGACAGCUAGGAUGUUGGCUUGGAAGCAGCCAUUCAUUUAAAGAGUGCGUAACAGCUCACUAGUCGAGGAGUCGGGCGUGGAUAAUAAUCGGGUAUUAAGUUGUCUACCGAAGCAGUGGGAUCAUUUAUAUGAUCGGUAGGGGAGCAUUCCAGUCAGCGUCGAAGGCGUACCGUGAGGUAUUCUGGAGCGUCUGGAAAAGCAAAUGUAGGUAUAAGUAACGAUAAAGGGGGCGGGAAACCCCCUCGCCGAAAGACUAAGGUUUCCUGAUCAACGCUAAUCGGAUCAGGGUCAGUCGGGUCCUAAGGCUCAGCCGAACGGCGAUGCCGAUGGCAGAAACGGUUAAUAUUCCGUUACUACCUUCAGGAGUGACGUGGAGACGCAGUAGUGACAGUGCCGCCAUCUGACGGAAUAGAUGGUUGAAGGGUGUAGGAGUCGAUCAUGGCAGGCAAAUCCACCAUGAGAUCCGAACCUGACAGUAUGCCGCGUCCUUCGGGACAAGGCAAUAGUGCGCGUAAGCAUGCUGCCGAGAAAAUCCGCUAAACUUAAUCCUGGAGGUACCCGUACCGCAAACGGACACACGUAGUCGGGAUGAAUAUUCUAAGGCGCUUGAGUGAUUCACGGUUAAGGAACUAGGCAAACUGACCCUGUAACUUCGGGAUAAAGGGUCCCUACCCUUUUAUGGGAGGGCGCAGAGAAUCGGUCCAGGCAACUGUUUAACAAAAACACAGGGCUGUGCCAAAUCGAAAGAUCCAGUAUACAGCCUGACACCUGCCCGGUGCUGGAAGGUUAAGAGGAGAUGUCAUCGAUGAGAGAAGCGUUGAAUUGAAGCCCCAGUAAACGGCGGCCGUAACUAUAACGGUCCUAAGGUAGCGAAAUUCCUUGUCGGGUAAGUUCCGACCUGCACGAAUGGUGUAAUGAUCUGGACGCUGUCUCAACCGUGAGCUCAGUGAAAUUGUAGUAUCGGUGAAGAUGCCGAUUACCCGCGAUGGGACGAAAAGACCCCGUGAACCUUUACUAUAGCUUAUCAUUGAAUCUGGGCACGUGAUGUGUAGGAUAGGUCGGAGGCUUUGAAGCAGGUACGCCAGUAUUUGUGGAGCCGCUGUUGAAAUACGACCCUUUAUUUGUUUGGAUUCUAACCCGUGGAACGGGGACAUUGAUUGGUGGGUAGUUUGACUGGGGUGGUCGCCUCCAAAAGCGUAACGGAGGCUUCUAAAGGUGCCCUCCGGCCGAUUGGUAACCGGCCUUAGAGUGUAAUGGCAUAAGGGCGCUUGACUGGGAGACUAACAAGUCGAUCAGGUAGGAAACUAGAGCAUAGUGAUCCGGUGUUUCC
RNAcentral lists this ribosomal RNA (1975 nucleotides) under human gut metagenome. RNAcentral describes it as "bacterial LSU rRNA". It matches the Rfam family "Bacterial large subunit ribosomal RNA", at positions 447 to 2430 of the family's 2925-position model. The record is from RNAcentral.